RNAcentral lists this ribosomal RNA (550 nucleotides) under uncultured Archaeorhizomycetes. Its description in RNAcentral is "eukaryotic LSU rRNA". It matches the Rfam family "Eukaryotic large subunit ribosomal RNA", at positions 52 to 601 of the family's 3401-position model. The record is from RNAcentral. Lineage: Eukaryota; Fungi; Ascomycota; Archaeorhizomycetes.
CGAGGAACAGAAACCAACAGGGAUUCCCUCAGUAGUGGCGAAUGAAGCGGGAAAAGCUCAAGUUUGAAAUCUGGGGGGGCCCGCUCCCUCAGAGUUGUAAGCUGAAGAGGUUUUGACCGACGCGGCACGGGCUCAAUUUCCUUGGAACAGGAGGUCAUGGAGGGUGAGAACCCCGUCUAUGGCUCGGAUGCCGUCGUCCUUGUGUCGUUUCCUCGAAGAGUCGGGUUGUUUGGGAAUGCAGCUCAAAAUGGGUGGUAAAUUUCAUCUAAGGCUAAAUAUUGGCGAGAGACCGAUAGCAAACAAGUAGAGUGAUCGAAAGAUGAAAAGUACUUUGAAAAGAGAGUGAAACAGUAUGCGAAAUUGUUGAAAGGGAAGCGUUUGGCAUCAGCCCAUGGCCUCUGGCGAUCAUCCAGGCUUCUGCCUGGUGCACUCGUCAGUGGCUGGGCCAGCGUCAGCUUUGCCUGCCGGAGAAAGGCCUCGGGGAUGUGGCUCCCUCUGGGGAGCGUUAUAACCCUUGGCGUAAUGCGGUGCGGCGGGGCUGAGGUCCGCG